This 884-nucleotide long non-coding RNA is filed under the name Pongo abelii (Sumatran orangutan). RNAcentral's name for it is "lincRNA". The record is from RNAcentral. Lineage: Eukaryota; Metazoa; Chordata; Mammalia; Primates; Hominidae.
GUUUUGACCUGGGGCACAUUUUUAACCUAAGAAGGGAAUAAAGGUUGUCUCAUGAGGUUGUUGUGCAGUUCAAAUGAGAUUACAAACGUGAAAGCUUGUGAAGCUCAGUCCUGUACGUUCAUGGAGUCCUCAUUGUACAAACUGGCCCCUUCUUGGUAACCUUUAGAGUUCCCUCCUAGGCUGUAAGCUGCAAGAGGGCAGGUACCAGGUCUGGUUGUAUUCAUCAUGUAUCACAGUGUCUAGCAGAAGGGUUCAUGUGGGUGUUCAAUAAAGUUUUGCUGAGUAGGUAAAUAAAUGAAUUAAUGAAUCCUGUUAUGCUUUGAACAGUUCCUAUUAUUUGUUCCUUAAACAGUUCCUUCAAUAGUGGUCUUAUUGCAUGGCUGGCUCAGUGAAAAACCCUCUAACUCAACCUCCUGUAACUAACUAGUGUGCCGGGAGACUGGGAGAAUUCUGGAUGGUACUGUCAGAGGCAUUCGAACCAGAGAAACUCCAUUUUGAAUGAGGGCUAGGAAAAUGAGGCUGAGACUGGCUGGGCCGCAUUCUCGGAAAGUUAGGCUUUCCUAGCCUCUAGAUGUUUACAGCUAAGGGAACAAAUUAAUAGUGUUUACUAAACAAACCCAGACUUGGGAGUGUCCAGAUAUCACGAUAUCUGGAGAACAAAGACAUUCCUAAUUUUGCUUUAAAGAUAAUAUUGAUUCUUGCAAAAUAUAGUAAUUUAUUUAUUUAUCACAAACUCUUGUAGCAGAGCACAUCUCCCUAUAUAUACAAGCGAUGUACCUAGCAUGGAAUCGUUCCUCCUCUUACUUUCGGCAACAUCCUACUUUGUCUAUGGAGUAGGUGUCCUUUCACCACUUUACUUUCUUAAUAAACUGGCUUUUACUUUA